This 1180-nucleotide long non-coding RNA is filed under the name Malus domestica (apple). RNAcentral describes it as "long non-coding RNA (MDOM_LNC019534)". Lineage: Eukaryota; Viridiplantae; Streptophyta; Magnoliopsida; Rosales; Rosaceae. The record is from RNAcentral.
UCUAGUGCAAGUGGGAGAUUGUUGGAAAUGUGCCUUAAAGCCAAUCAUGUGAUGAUACUUUACGGACAUUUCACAUGUUAAACUAAUCUAGUUUUACAUAUAAAGGGCAUAAAUUAUUGUUUGAGCCGUCUCAUAUAAAUAUUAUAUGCUUAAACGAUAAAGUCCAAGGAAUAUGUGAUUGGGGAGAAUGUAAUCUAAUGAAGUUAGAUUCAUGAGACCAUUCUUUCGUAGACACAUCCUAAAUGUUCCUGAUCAUAGGAUUGCCAAUUGGGCGUUGACAGUCCGUUAAGAUCAGUACGUACUAUGUCUUCUCUCAGGGAGAGUGAUUAGUCUCGAGUCAUUGGUGUGUGACAUCAAGACAAGUACGUAGGUGCUCAAUAGAGAAUGAGUUCACUGAACGUGAUCAACGAAGAGUUCUUAUAUUCCAUGUCACAUGAGAACUCAUGGUUGGGAUAAUGCAAAGUAGUCCUUUGACCUGAGGCAUCACAGUUGUCUUGUGGUUAAGUCCUUGAUCUUUGAUUAUGUCAAAGUCACCCCCUCGGGGUGUCCACGGCAUCGUUGGGGUUAAGCCACUUAGCUAUGGAGACAAGUGAAUGCGCAACAAGGGAUCUCUAACCCUUCAAACAGUUGAGGGAGAAUACUCUAUGAUAUGAUUUGGAAUCUCUGGCCAGAGUAUGAAUCAGAUUAGGGAAUGCGUUCCAAAUCACAUUCAAGGAAAUCAUAUAAGCACACGAAUCACAUUGGAUAGUAGACAUGAAUAAAUAAACUAUCAUACCAAACAAUGUGGUCAAGAGUAUUAGAUUAGAGAAUGACCGUAUUGCAUUUGUAAUCCCAAACUGAAUAGGUUCUCUAUCCUCUUCUGAUUAGCUUGGGUAACCAUGAUAUGCUGCUAGGUGUCACUCAUGGUUUGUGGAAGCCCUAAACGUGUCUAAUCACUAAAGGGAGAAUUGAAAAUAGUUUCAAUUCACAAUCAAUGUAAAAUGGUUUUAAUCGCCCACUACCUCGCUAAAAGGAACCUAAUGGAUCGCACACCAUAAAAGGUGGAGAUUGAAGAUUAAACGGAAAUGAGCAAGAAUGAUUAAAUGGUUUAAUCAUUUAUUUAUGGCAAGGAUUAAUUAAUAUGUUAAUUAAUCAAACGAAUAAGUUCGUUAAAUACUUCGGGAUAGUUUUGGACCUUAAG